GCAUGCCGCGUGCAGGAUGAAGGCCUUCGGGUUGUAAACUGCUUUUGUACGGAACGAAACGGUGAGCUCUAAUACAGCUUGCUAAUGACGGUACCGUAAGAAUAAGCACCGGCUAACUACGUGCCAGCAGCCGCGGUAAUACGUAGGGUGCGAGCGUUAAUCGGAAUUACUGGGCGUAAAGCGUGCGCAGGCGGUGAUGUAAGACAGAUGUGAAAUCCCCGGGCUCAACCUGGGACCUGCAUUUGUGACUGCAUCGCUAGAGUACGGUAGAGGGGGAUGGAAUUCCGCGUGUAGCAGUGAAAUGCGUAGAUAUGCGGAGGAACACCGAUGGCGAAGGCAAUCCCCUGGACCUGUACUGACGCUCAUGCACGAAAGCGUGGGGAGCAAACAGGAUUAGAUACCCUGGUAGUCCACGCCCUAAACGAUGUCAACUGGUUGUUGGGUCUUCACUGACUCAGUAACGAAGCUA
Molecule: ribosomal RNA, 469 nt
Filed under: Comamonadaceae bacterium
Lineage: Bacteria; Pseudomonadati; Pseudomonadota; Betaproteobacteria; Burkholderiales; Comamonadaceae
Description: bacterial SSU rRNA
Rfam family: Bacterial small subunit ribosomal RNA
Source: RNAcentral